AUUGAACGCUGGCGGCAGGCCUAACACAUGCAAGUCGAGCGGAUGAGAGGAGCUUGCUUCUCGAUUCAGCGGCGGACGGGUGAGUAAUGCCUAGGAAUCUGCCUAGUAGUGGGGGACAACGUUUCGAAAGGAACGCUAAUACCGCAUACGUCCUACGGGAGAAAGUGGGGGAUCUUCGGACCUCACGCUAUUAGAUGAGCCUAGGCCGGAUUAGCUAGUUGGUAGGGUAAAGGCCUACCAAGGCGACGAUCCGUAACUGGUCUGAGAGGAUGAUCAGGCACACUGGAACUGAGACACGGUCCAGACUCCUACGGGAGGCAGCAGUGGGGAAUAUUGGACAAUGGGCGCAAGCCUGAUCCAGCCAUGCCGCGUGUGUGAAGAAGGCCCUCGGGUCGUAAAGCACUUUAAGUGGGGAGGAAGGGCUUACAGCGAAUACCUGUGAGUUUUGACGUUACCGACAGAAUAAGCACCGGCUAACUUCGUGCCAGCAGCCGCCGUAA
This 500-nucleotide ribosomal RNA is filed under the name uncultured bacterium. RNAcentral's name for it is "partial 16S ribosomal RNA". It matches the Rfam family "Bacterial small subunit ribosomal RNA", at positions 30 to 523 of the family's 1533-position model. The record is from RNAcentral.